RNAcentral lists this ribosomal RNA (773 nucleotides) under uncultured Neocallimastigales. RNAcentral describes it as "partial large subunit ribosomal RNA". It matches the Rfam family "Eukaryotic large subunit ribosomal RNA", at positions 18 to 635 of the family's 3401-position model. Lineage: Eukaryota; Fungi; Neocallimastigomycota; Neocallimastigomycetes; Neocallimastigales. The record is from RNAcentral.
CAGACGAUGCGUCAUGCAUAUCAAUAAGCGGAGGAAAAGAAACUAACAAGGAUUCCCUUAGUAACGGCGAGUGAAGCGGGAAGAGCUCAAAUUUGAAAUCUUCAAGGUUUUACCUUGACGAAUUGUAGUUUAAAGAAGUGUUUUCUGUUGAAGUUUUGGUAAAAGUUCUUUGGAAUAGGACGUCAUAGAGGGUGAGAAUCCCGUAUUUGACCAUUAUUUUCAGCUGUGUGAUACACUUUCAAAGAGUCGGAUUGUUUGGGAAUGCAGUCCAAAAUGGGUGGUAAAUUUCAUCUAAAGCUAAAUAUUGGCGAGAGACCGAUAGCGAACAAGUACCGUGAGGGAAAGAUGAAAAGAACUUUGAAAAGAGAGUUAAACAGUACGUGAAAUUGUCAAAAGGGAAGCGUUUGACACCAGUGUUGUUUUCUCGAAAAUCAAUUAAAAAGAGUUGGAUUUUGUGUUGUAUUGACCUUAACAGCUUGCUUCACUCUUUUCCUGCUUUUUUUAAUGCACUUUUCGUUUAACAAGUCAACAUCAGUUUCUUUUGUUGUAAAAGGGUCAUUGGAAGGUGGCUUUCUCUUCGGAGAAAGUGUUUAUAGCCUUUGAUCUCUGCAAUCGGAGAGACUGAGGUCUGCAGCGUAGAUCCUUCGGGGUUAGAUACAUUUGUGCUAAGCUACAGCUUUUCAUAGACAACUUGUUGACUAUGUUUAGUCUUGUAAUUUACUCGCGAGUGCUAUUUUACCUACGCUUAGGAUGUUGAUAUGCAUGACUGAUAU